AGAUGCCAGAGAGACUGAAAU
This 21-nucleotide microRNA is filed under the name Marek's disease virus serotype 2 MDV2. Its description in RNAcentral is "mdv2-miR-M16-3p". Its record names the gene mdv2-miR-M16-3p. Lineage: Duplodnaviria; Heunggongvirae; Peploviricota; Herviviricetes; Herpesvirales; Orthoherpesviridae. The record is from miRBase by way of RNAcentral.